GAGAGACGAGGUAAUGAGCAGCCCAAAUUAUGUUUAAAGCAGCGGUUCUCAAACCUGAAGGACUUGUUAAAACAUUCUAGGAGAGACCUCUGAGGGUUUUUUUUUUUCUAAUUAAGUUUAUUGGUGCAUUUUAGGUGUAAAUUAUGAUCACAUGCAUCAUAGGGAAUUUGUGUCUGUAUAUGAUAUAUCUUGUUUUUGUUUUGGUGCCAGGGAUCAAACUCAGGAUCUUGUGGUUGCCAGGCAGGUGCUAAGCUACAUCCCCAGCUGUAUAAGGUGUAUCUUGGUUCUUACUUUUUCCCCAUUCCUCUUCCCUCCCUUCAGCUCCUCCAUCCCUCCAUAUUUACAAAAGCCUUGUCUCCAUUUUUUCCUUCUCAGUUUUUCUUUCCCUCGGCUCCCUCCUAGUUCCCCUUUUAACAUUUUCUUAUUUCCCGAAAAAUAUGGACUGCUUCAUGAAUUUGCAUCUCAUCCUUGCUCAGGGUCCACUCUAAUCUCUGUAUCAUUGCAAUUUUAGUGUAUGUGCUGCUGAAUCUAGCACCCCCAAGUUUCUUCAGUAAAUUUGGGGGUGAGGCCUCAAUUAGUGUUUCUAACAGGGCCACAGGUGAAGCUGUUGCUCCUGGUUUAGGGAACAUACUUUGAGAGCCACUGUUUAGGACAUCAAGAAAAAAAUUGGAAAGAUUUGGUAUUUCACACAAAGCUUUGAAGUACUUAUGGGGCAAAUCAGAAACUUGGGCUUCAUUACCUUUAGGGUUUGUUGUGAUUUUUAAAGCUUAUUUUUGGACACAUAAUAUUUGUAUGUAUUUGUGGAGUACUGUACAAUUUUGAUACAUGUAUACAAUGUUUAAUGACCAAAUCAUGCUAUUUUCUAUAUCAUCAAUCAUUUCUACGUAUUGGUAACUCAUGCUUUUCUAGUUAUUUGAAAAUACAGAUUUUUGUAGCCUAUUAGACUAUUGAACACCAGAACUAAUUUCUUCUAUGUGACUGUGUUUUCUCCCCGAUCUAAUCUCUCUGCAUUGUUCUUCAUCUCCUUCCUGGUCUCUAUUCCACUUUUUUGAUACCAAUUUUUUAGUUUCUACAAAUGAGCAAGAACAUGGAGUAUUUGCUUCAUGUGCCUGGCUUAUUUCACUUAACAUGAUGUCCUCCAAAGUGUGAUUUUUAAAAAUAUUUCAAAUUGUAUUUGAGGAGGGACAUAAAACUACCAUAAUUCUUUCAUUGGUAGAGCUAGCAGUCCUAAGCUCUAUAUGAACCCCCAAGCCAAAGCAUUUCUUUAUAUAAACUUCAGCUUUCAACCCCCUAUGAUAAUGUCUCCUUCAUGUGGAUUUUCCCUGUGGGUCUUGUAGUAGCCCACAACAAAAUACCAUGUGGAGAAUAGCAAAAUCUCUCAUGCUCAAAUCUCACUUUUCUCGACAAAAAGCCAUAGGACAGAAAUACUGUUUGUCUUGUCUUCCAGAUCGAUAGGCAGAUAUAUUUUGAAAGUUCAAGCCUAUGACAGAAAACCUGACACACAUGGCAUGCAAAUACAGAGGACCUGCCAGGGUUAUAGAAAUGAAGUGCUUUUGUUUUUGUAUAAAUUUUCCAUUUGUUCUUGCACUUUGUGCUGUCUACCAUCCCAGGAAAUACUUCUAUUUUAAAUGGAGGAAAUCAGGAGCAGGAAGCUUUCAAACAUGCCCAGAACCAUACAGCUCAUGAGGUAUAUGAAGUGAAGGCGCGUGGCUUCCAAACUCUGCAUUCUUUUCUUCAGAACAUAUUGUAAUUCAAAUGCCAGAACACUGGAUCUAAAGGGAAGAAAGGAUUUGAUAUUUUUAACCCUGUAAAGUAGAAUGUAAAAAAGACAACAAUUUCCAAGUCCAUGAAGCAGUUACCAUGUAGUUAGAAAUCAGAUGCAAUUUAUGAUACCUAAGGAAAGAACAAUAGGGAAAUGAAAUAGAGAAGUAGAAAAGGUUUAAGGUAAAACAUCUGAAUAGUUAGCUAACAGUCAGGGUCAGAAAGAAAUUCUAUUGGCCCUUAAAAGAAGACGGGGCAGAAAACUCAUGGGUUCCGUUAAAUCCUACUGUGUUACAAGCCACUCCCAAAAUGUAGUGGCUUAAAAACAAAGUGUGUUUGCUCACAGUUCUCUGGGUUAGAGGUGCGGAUGGGUGAGUGAGGAUGGCUGUUUCCGCUCCGUGUGUUGACGGGGGUGCCUCAGCUGGAAGAUCUAAGACAUCUUCAUCUGGGCCCGGUGCCGCUGGGUGGGACCCCUGGGACCCCUCCCACCCCGUGUGGCGACCAGGUGGGAAGACUGAGGCCUAAUUGGCCUCUUCGGCCAGCACUGAGAGGAAAAGGGGGAUCCAAGCGAGCUAACACGCCGCAGGGAGAAGUAGAAACACCGGAGGGUAGGUUGUUUACCCGGAGAAGUACCGUGGGGUUGGAGACAGAUGGAUUCUGUGAACUGUAAUUGCUCUGCCCGUGUCUGGGUGAAUAAAGCCAAGGUGGCCAGUGGCUUGCGGCUCUAUAUCGAAGGGAGACGUGAGCUCUCUGGCCUCCCAGAUUUUAACCUGUUUCUGUGUCUCUAUUUUUCAUUCUUAUCACCCCUUGGCCAGGUUCGAGCUCAGCUGGUGGGCUGGUUCCUGCCCUCCCAUCCCUCUGGUCUUGAGAAAGUAGCCCAGCUUGAGCAUUUUUCACGUGAUACGUUUGUGAGAGCGUGAAAAGGGUCACGCAGCCUUCUGUGGUGUCAGUUAAAGCAAGUCACUGGGCCAGCCUGGGUUCAAAGUGAUGGGAAACCUACUCUACUCUUGAGGGGAGAAGGGUACAAGCUCGCUGCGAAAAAAAAAAGGGGGCACGGUUAGGCUGAGUAAAAGAAGCCAGACAGGGCUGGGGAUUUGAUUUAGCUCAGUGGUUCUGUCUGCCCUGUAAGUGCAAGGACCCGGGUUCAAUCCCGGUACAAAAAAAAGCUAGCCACAAAAGAGUGCAUUGUUUGAUUAUAUGAAAUUCUAGAAAAGGCAAACUAAUAGAUAGUGGCGGAAAGUAAAUCACUGGUUGCUCAAGGCUGGAAAGAAGGGAUUGCUAGCAAAGGGGGAUGAGGGAAAUUGAGGGCGUAGUGGCUAUACCCCACACCUUGAGUGGUAAUAUAUACAGAGAUGUACACGUUUGUGAAAGUGCAUGAUUUUACAGUAAUUAGGUAAAUAUCUUAAAAAUAAGAUCGGAAAUGGGAAGGAUUGUUGAGACCAUCUUCAGAAAUAACCAUAUGUGAAAGCUUAGAUCUGAAAGGACAUUAGAAGAUCUUCUGGUCCAAUGUCCUACAAAUAAGGAAAGAGAGGCCCAGAGAGAGCAACUUGCCAACUUAGGGAGUCAGUAACAAAACUAGGAUUGGAAUCUAGACUAACCACAGCCUUGCUGUCAUUCCUCCCAAACCCUCUGAAAUCAGGGAAAGGACACCCUAGGCUCGCAUCAACAAGACUCCCCUACAUAUAAGAGCUGGGCCACACGAACUGUUAGUGUCCUUUUGCACUUUAUAAGCUUUUAGGGUUUUUGUCUGUUUUGUGAUGGGGCUCAAACUGAGGGUCUUCUACGUGCUAGUCAAAUGCUCUGCCACUGAGCUACAUCCCUAGCCCUUAGUGUGAAAAGUUAGGAGCAGAGACUGUUGUGCUCUGUUCCUCAUCCUGAGACACUAACUGCUCUGAGUUGGUGUGUCUAAUCCAGGUGACUGGAGCAGUGUUUAUAAAUAGAACACUGAGGGGCGGGGGGAAGAAGAGCAGCUAUGCCAUAGCCACCUGUUUUCCACAGUGCUAUUUUGAGUUUCUCAGGGCCUUGGCAGGAAAGGACAUGGAGGGCUAUGGAACUAUUGAGGCAUUAUUAAAUUUUACAAAGUUAAUAAACUUGUAAAGUGAGAAUUGUUGCCAGGUUUUAUAAAGUGCUUCAUAGAGUAGGUAGAAUUGAACUAAGAAAUAGUAUUGCAACCAAUAGUAAUACAGCAUGCAAAUGUAGCAUGUAGGGAAUUUUUAAAAAGUGAAGAGAGUCCACUUUUAACAUACUUUCUUUGCUCAAAAAAGCAAUUUGAACUUUAUCCAAGUGUCUCAGACAUUUAUCAGAUGUAUUCAACUUCUUUGGAUACCAAAGAACGUUUUAAAAACUACAAGAGAUGCCAGAAUGCUGUCAGCUGAAAUUAUUUGCUUGCUGGUACAUCAGAGAGUAAUACCCUGCUGGUCUGGGGCAAUUACCUAGAGAACAAUGGAUUUGAACUGAGAAUGGAAUCUGAACUUUUUUCUGCAGAAAGUCACAUGUGAAAAUUGAAUGAUUCAACGGGAUAAGGUUUUUUCAAGAAAACAUCCUCCUUACAGAUUUCUGAAGCUUGGGUUUUUCAUGUUUUGGGUGGUUUCCCUGUUUUUCUAAUACCUAUAUUUAAAAAUUAAGUAGUAAACAUUCUAUUAAAUGAGGAAGGGGGAUACUGACGUGAGUCUUCGAUUUGUGGCUUAUGUCUCAUAGCUGUUGGUAGGAAGGAGCUUGUUCUUUUACAAAUGUGAAAUGCAGUUCCGGCAUAACUACAGGCCCAACACUAACUCCAGGUGGAAAGUGGCACAUUCAUGGAAAUAAUUCCAGCCAAAAAAACUUGCUCUUGUUUGCAUUACCUCAGCUGGUUAGGGCUUUGAUUACUGAAUGCUUUCAGUUGGGUUAAAGACAAAAACACAAUGGGAUUCAAAGGAAUCAGCUCAAGGCUGAGAAUUUAAUAAUCCCAAAACAUUUAGCUUAGUUUAAGCCAGAAGGUCCUUAUUAAAGACGUUUUAAAAAGUUAACGUUUCAACUCUGUGCCUCAUUAUGAAAUAGCUGGCCUACUCAACAUGUAGCAUUUAUUUAUAAACCUAGGCAGGCUUUACUUCAUAAAUGCACAUUCAGGUCGGGCUUUUUUCAAUACCAUUGUGAACCACGUAUGGAUUAUCAGUACUACCUCAGGGAUGCAGAAGCCCUGCAUGACGUAAGACUCAUGAUGGAUGUGAAAUAAGACUGCUAGGUCUUCUAGAGCCCUGCCUGGCCUCCAUGUCCCCCAUCCCUGCCAUUCCUCUGAGAACCAAUGGUUUCAGUCACCUCCUGUUUUACCACAUUGGUAUGGACGGAUUUCCCCAUUGGGCUCAUGGGAUUGGCCAGGCGAGCUUGACGGUGGUUUAUUAGUUGCUUAUAUACUCAUAGUGGGGGAGAAGGGAUACCCACACAAGCAAAAUGGUGGCUGAUGUGGACACAGAAUGAGCAGUAGGGGCUAUGGGAAGCAGGCUCUGUAGUAUCUAAAAGGUAAGGAACCUGUGGUUUCCAUGGGAGGAGGUGACUGGCCUGUUUGAAUUCCACAGGCUGACAGGACCUGAAAGCCAGUUUUCUGGGUGAGCAGGCACAGUACCUGGUCCACUCAAUGAGGAGGGUUGUUUGGCUCGGGGACCUUAUCCCUUUGUCCACUGGAGCAGAGGGGAAGAGAACUUUGCACUAGGCCAUUUGAGACUCCCUUGGUUUCCCCAGAUGUUGGGGUAUACAUAAUACUGGGCCUCAAUUUUAGGCCGUAUUCCACAAGUCAAGCUGGACAUUUUUUCUAGAUCAUCAUCUGCUAAACCCUCUUCUAACUGGGAGGGGAAAAAAAGAUAGGCAAAGCAUGCAGGCCAAACCUUUUAUUAUUUUCAACUAGUCGCCAAACAAAUGUCCACGACGUGUCUUUGGGUAGUGGUGCUAGACUAGGCACAGAAACUUGAAGAAUGGGCCACAUCCCUAUAAAAGGGGUCAAAUACAGAAGCUAGAAGGCCCAAGCAGACGAUGGUACAGAGGGGUGAGAGCAGGGACAAAGACCGUGCACGUGCUGCACGAGUGAAGUAAGGGAGGCGGCCCGUCCCACCUGGGCAUGCUGAAGGGCUGCGAGGGGCAGGGGCAGUGGCCCUGAGCUGGCUUGAAAAUGAGCCGGAGUUUGCCAGUCAGGAGAGGGACGGGAGUGUCGUCGCAGGAGGGCAGCCUGGGACUGUUGGGAGUGUCCUCUCGGGAGGUGUCUGCUCCUCUCACCCGACCCCUCUUGCCACUUUCUCCCCCAGGCAUCUCCUCGUAUUUGCAGAAUCAGAUUCUGCCCUCGUAUUUAUCGAUCACGGUCACGGUUGCUGGGGAAGGGGAAGCAGGAGGGGUGAGGAAAACGUGCCCAGGGGACUGAGGAAAUGAGGAUGAAGCGCCCUCCCAGGACAUCUUACCUACCAGAGGCUGCCGGGUGCAGCCAAGAAGUUUUACUAAAAUUUCCACUUUGCGGAUGAGGAAAGUCUCAGAGGACAUAAGAAACUUGCCCCGCAAGGAGUCAAACCUUGGGUACCUCACUUUUCCUCUGGCACCCUAACUGUUUUCUGCUCAAGACUGAGAUCCGGGCCAGCAGUCACUCGUUCCGGGAGCCUUCACAAAAUUCAAGUGGAUUUGUAAUAAAUAUCUGUUCGAUCAUCUCAGCCAAUCAUUCAGGUAUCAAUGUCGUACAGCAGAGACCACCUUAGGCCAAGAGUUGAAGGCUAUUUGCCAAUAUUUUCCUAGCUCACCCUAGGGACUGACCAUGUGUGAUUAUCCAGUAACCGGGUAAGGAAAAGGGAUGGCGCCCAGACUCGUCAAGGUAGGGAAAGUUGAGACUGAAAUGUAGAAAAGUCACUGGCUAGCUUACGCACAAUAGAAACUUAUCUCUCUCAGUGGUGUGGAGGCUGGGAGUCCAGGGUCCGGGUCCCAGAAUGCUUGGGCUCUGCUGAGGACCCUCUUCCGGGCUGCUAACAGCCAUUUUUUCAUCAUUCCCUUAUGAAGCGGAGAGGCUGCUCCUGGACCCCUGUUAUGAGCACACUAAUCCUGUUCCCUAGGGCUCCACCAUCUAAAACCAUCACAUUGAGGUUUAGGGUUUCAGUGUAGGGAUUUUGAGGGGUCAGAAACAUUCAGUUUAUAACAAUGAGAAAUCAAACAAUUCCUGGCAUUACAGUGAAAUUAUUGUACAAAACUUCUCGAAACCACAAGAAAACUGAUAUAAGAUGUUCCCUGCGGGCCCAGGGAAGCAACUGCCCAUUUAAACACACCCCAUCCCAUCACAGCUGCUGAGAUGGAGAUGUGACUGGAAUGGAACAGUGGGACCAGAAAGGCUUUAAAUCAGAUUCUGUCAUUAACUGUUGCAUGAUAAUAAACAAUAUAAUAAGUGUUGAGUGAGUGAACAAUGGCCAGUGCUGUGGUAAUUUUAAAAAAACCACAGAGAUCAAAUUCAACCCACUAAUAUGUUCCCCCUUUUCCUCUGCCAAGCUGAGCAGUAAAUCCCUUUUCAGGAGCUAGUUAAUUUCUUCCCAGUGACUAUGCUUUUACAUCCAACUCACUGGAUAUUUUGUUGAGUAGAGAAGUCAAACGCCAAGGUCCACAAGCCAACAUUUCAAAAGGAGUCCUAGGGCCAGGCAUUUAGCUCAGUGGUGCCGCUGCCUGCCUCACAAGCACGAGGUCCUGAGUUCGAUCCCUGGUACCAGAAAAAACCCAAAACAAAAAGGGUCCUCAUUUAGCCCAGUGUGUCUACACAAACCCUUUGAAUGCUGCUUCUCUAGGUCCCUCAAAUGGUAGUAACAGUAGUAGGAGUGGUAGUGAUAUCAGCUAACAUUUUACAUCAUGCUUUUUAUGUGUUAGUAACUGUAAUAGGAGUUUUCUAUGUAUUAAAUUCUCAGCAAUUCAGCAAGGCAAGUAUUAAACUGUCAAUCUCAUCAUUCAACUUUGUAGAUGAAACUGAGACACAGCAGUGAGGAGGUUUGUCUGUGGCUAUUUGUAGGAGUCAGGAUGCUGAGCCGUGGUUCUCAACCUUGAUCGCACUAGAGAGCUUAUUCAACUUUGAUGCCCCAAACUCAACCAGUGUCCCCUGCUCACAAUCCAGACUUUAAUUUAAUUGACAUGGAAUGUUUUUAACACUGUUGGAUGAUUCUAAUGAGCUGUCAAGGUUGGGACACUGGGUUUUUUAGGCUUGGCAUUUUAGCUUCGCAUCACCAUCACACAGCCAAUGGGAAACACUUGAGCUGAUACACCUGGCUAAAGGAGCAGCCAAUAGGAGAAUUCCUCGGAAUGAAGUAGUGACAAACGGGGUGGACAUUUAGCUAUCCACAAGGUCUCAAGCAAUUGACUCAAAGCAAAGCGUGUGAAGAAGUGCUUUGUUUUCUUCCAGCACAAUGAGUCUAUGGAGUCAAAUAUAUUAAACCCUUGAUUAUUAAUGAGUGAUCCAUAGAAAAUGUUUAAUCUGAGAUCCAGGCUCCUAAAGGAAACUUCUUACCAACUGGUACAGUAUAUAUUCAAAGAAUGCACAUUAGUUUUAUUUUUAAUCUAAGUGGAACAUGAGAGGGGAAGAAAUCGUGUGUAUACAUGUGAAAAUCAUUCAAAGGAUAAAUUAAAUGAUUUGGAGGGAUUAUCUGCUGUUUCGGAUUACACACAUCACUGCCCCCUCCAAUGGCGCUGACCACUGAAAGCCGCCUGUGUUCUGAUUGCUGACAGCUGAAGGAUCCGUGUUGCCAAGGAACCUCUGGCCACGUGCCAAAUAACAACCUGAUUAAUUAUCCUUCCCUUUGUGCUGUCCCAGCAGGCAAUCUUCCCUCACCGCACUGGUGUCCAGUUUCAGGAGCAUAGAAGAGAAGGGUAAAUCCCCAAAAUGAACAUCCCCAAGUCUUGAGGCAGCAGAUACAUCAGACAGACUUUCCUCUUCUUCAGGUGCUCUGCUUCCGGGUUUACCUGUCCAUAGCAAAGCCAAUCACGAUAUCCAGAAGGAUCUCAGUCACGCUGGCUUCCCAAACGGAGUUUCGGCAAAAUGCUCUUCAAUCGGGUGCAUACAGAGGUCACCCAAAAUAUUAUGUCGGAGACCCCAAGACGAACAAGUUUCCACGACCCAGUGGCCCACCCAGGGACCUGAAUCCGUGGUGGCUUUGUGCUGCCCGGCUUCAGCUCGUGGCUGUGCUUGGUAUUUUAGUUGGGAGUGCCAUUCAGAGCUCUGACAGCCAAUGACUGGCUUUGAUAAAGAGAUGCGUCACUGAGCUGGUGUCGCUAUGUAGCCUAUGACUCCAAGGGCAGGGGCCUCAGCAGGCCAGAGGCGUGCUCAGCCUUGCUACACAACCGGAAGGAGUGCCCCUGGCCACGGAGAGGUGCCCACGAGACCCAAGGGUUACUUCCCUCCUUGGCGAUGUGCAGUGCAGCUGGCAAUGGCUCCCUGUCUACAACUCGGCGGACUCGGCACGGAGGUCUGUCGGUCUCUGAGCGUUGUCUGCUGGAUCUUUUUUGGGUGUACCUGCCGGGCUUAGCUCUGUGCUUGUCAGCAGGAGCCUCCCAAUGCCGAGCCUCCGUGGUCGCCUCUGGAAACACCCGGGAAGGGGGCUGGGUUGCCUCACCACUAGGCCCUUCCUCUGCCCCCACAGGGUUCGCGUCUUUCCGUCUUGGCAGUUAGUCGCACCUAAGGCUUUUGCUCCAUCCCAGGCCUGGCUUUGACUCAGCUGUAGCGAUUAUUUCCCUGAGAACCAGUCUGAUUUUACGUAAAUAUCAAACAAAUCUUUUAAGAGGAGGGUCUCAUCCUGAAGGUAGCUGGAGGGAGAGAAAUCCCCUCUUAGAACUUGGCCUUUGAAGUAGAUUCUGACAGCAACCUCGCUUCGAGCUUUUCAUGAAUACGGUUGUAAAUUGAUUUGGGGGUUUGUCCUCACGGGCUGGGAAACAGUUUUCCUGGGUGGGCUGCCUCGGUGUAGUUGCUAUUUCAAGCUGGCGCUUUCAGGAGCUGCCCUCCAGUGAGAUCUUACCCAUGCUCCCUGAGGUCAAUAAAAACCCGAGCCUGUGUUUCUGUUAGUCAAAUAGGUGAGUGCUGAGAGAUGGGACACUCACUGGCUUAGGAAUAAAUUUGUGCCUAAACCACCUAAACGGACAUCUCGGCUAUCUAAAUCACAGGUGCUGGCUGUGCCUGCCUACGGAUAAGUUUUAAUGCCUUUCUUCUAAAGGACUAUUUAGUCUUUAGAAAACACAUUGAUUUUUGAAAUAACAUAGCCUAAUAAAAGAACUUCAGCCUAGUCUACAAUUGCUUCACUGGUCUGCACAAGCCGUAGAUUUUCUGGGAUAUAAAAUACCAACUUGACAUUCUCUUUAUCUGUUCACUAAAUUAUUUUAUAACUUUAUCUGUUGCCCUAAGAUUAUUGUUGAAAAAUACAGAGAACUAUUAUGUUCUUACUAGUCAUUGAAAGGAUGUAAACUGGAACUAGAAUAUGAUUUUCACCCAAUAAAUAGUCCAGGAAGCUAAUGCUGUCCCAUAU
This 10250-nucleotide long non-coding RNA is filed under the name Heterocephalus glaber (naked mole-rat). RNAcentral's name for it is "lncRNA (ENSHGLG00100045426.1)". Lineage: Eukaryota; Metazoa; Chordata; Mammalia; Rodentia; Bathyergidae. The record is from RNAcentral.